UUGUCAGAUUAGAAAUUUGUAGAAAAAUCAGUAACCAAAACAAAACAUUUUCGUUUUUCCGACAGAUAGAAGUGUGUUAACCAAUGGAACUAGAGACCUAAAGCCAGAUAUUACAAAACAAUAAAAAAAAACACUCAAAAAGCGUAACAAAUUUAAGUCAUUUUGUGGAAUUGCGACAUUCGGUCAUAUUUUCUUUCUCAAAUUAUCAUAUUUUGGAUCUUAAGCAGAGCAGAGCAGAGCGGAGAGCAGCAAACAUGGGCAAUGUGCACACGCUAGAGGAGGACAAGGUCCAUGGGCAUGAUCAUGGCCGUGAGCAGGGACAGGGGCGGGGUCAGGGCAAGGGCAAUGAGAAGGAGAAGCUCUAUCGAUUCUUUGGCAUACGCAUGGCCAACGAGGGCGAUGGCUAUAGCAUAACCGGGCAACGGCGUGCGGAGAUACAGCUGAAGCAGGAGGAGAAUCUGGAGGCAGCGGGCCCAGGAGGGGCGCGUUCCGCCGCUGCGGUUGCUGUCGGCGGUCUGGCAGCGCCGGCGACAGCAUUGCCAGAGCGUUUAGGGAAUCCGGGCACUGUGGCGGAAUUGCAUCGUCGCUGCCACGAUAUGCUGCCGCAAACAUUUGACGGCUUCCGACUGAACGUUAGCCGCGCCCUCGGCAGCAAUGUGACCGUCGGCCAUUCCCUGCAGGUGGGCAACCGGCCGCAGACCGCCGACUGUCAGUUCAAUGCCAGCUAUAUGGGCCAGCGCCAGCACGAGCUAACUGGCGAGGCAUACCCAAUGAUCAUUGGCGAGGUGGAUGCCCAUGGCAAUGUGACCGGCACACUGAUGCACUUCAUCACGCCACGGUGCCGUGGCAAACUGACGACCACCAUACUCGACUCGGAGGUCCAGAGUUCGCGCCUCUUUCUAGACUACUUUGGGAACAAUUACAGCUGCACCUGCGUCCUGAGCAACAUCGAUCUGGCACAGCGCAUGGGCGUCUUUGUGGCAUCCUAUCUGCAACAGGUCACACCCGAGCUGGCGCUGGGCGUCGACUACAUCUAUCAGCGCGAGGACAUUGUGCCCGGCGGCCAGGCGGCACUCGUCUCGGCGGUGGCACGCUACCAGCAGGAAAAUCGACAAUGGUCCGCCAUGCUCAGCCUGCACGCCCUGGAGCUCUGCUAUACACAGUUCUAUGGCCAGAGUCUGGGCGCCAGUGUUCAGCUGCAGGCGAAUAUCUUGAAGCGCCAGGCGAUAUCGCGGCUGUGCUAUCAUUGCCAUAUGCCCAGGGUUGGGUUCAGUUUUCGCGGCGGCAUCGAUACACGCGGCGUCAUCAGCGCCGUCUGCGAGAAGCGACUCGAGCCGCUGCCCAUUCUGCUGCAGCUCAGCGGCAAGCUGAAUCAUCUGACCAGUCGCUUUCGCUUCGGCCUGGGCCUGAUACUGGGCUAAACAUGGAUGCCAUGUGAUUUGACCCUCAAUUUCAGCCACUUGACGAACAAGCAACUGCUUGAUCAGCUUUUGCAUUGGAAUCUGCCACAGGGCGUGCAACGAAUUGUUGUUUAAAUGAAUCAAAUUUCGGAGGAGGGGCUUGGUUCACGCCCAGCACUGCUGCACUGGGCUCAAGAAACAGCUCGAAAUAAUAUUAAAAACAGAUACAAAUAUAUUUCAAAGAAGAUACAAAUUCAAAUAAAAAAGAUGCCCAAAUUCAAAUUAGCUACAUUUUUGAAAAACUCUUCUCAAAUUCAGCGGUUUUAUACAACUUUUCAAACGCACAAAAACGCAACAAUUUUGCGCACUUUGAGAAGAAAGUUUCGUCUAAAUAGAGUCUAUGGAAAUAUGUUCUUUCGUUUCAUUUCGAUCACGCGACCGACAAACCGAAUUCAGCUAAAGCGAGGCAGCUGUCGACACGGAUCAGGAAC
Molecule: RNA transcript, 1891 nt
Organism: Drosophila novamexicana
Lineage: Eukaryota; Metazoa; Arthropoda; Insecta; Diptera; Drosophilidae
Gene name: mitochondrial import receptor subunit TOM40 homolog 1-like
Exons: 4
Source: RefSeq, a predicted model, not a curated record